UACGUAGGGAGCAAGCGUUGUUCGGAUUUACUGGGCGUAAAGGGCGCGUAGGCGGCGCGGUAAGUCACUUGUGAAAUCUCUGAGCUUAACUCAGAACGGCCAAGUGAUACUGCAGUGCUAGAGUGCAGAAGGGGCAAUCGGAAUUCUUGGUGUAGCGGUGAAAUGCGUAGAUAUCAAGAGGAACACCUGAGGCGAAGGCGGGUUGCUAGGCUGACACUGACGCUGAGGCGCGAAAGCCAGGGGAGCAAACGGG
RNAcentral lists this unclassified non-coding RNA (253 nucleotides) under uncultured Blastocatellales bacterium. Its description in RNAcentral is "contains 16S-23S intergenic spacer region". It matches the Rfam family "Bacterial small subunit ribosomal RNA", at positions 524 to 776 of the family's 1533-position model. Lineage: Bacteria; Pseudomonadati; Acidobacteriota; Blastocatellia; Blastocatellales. The record is from RNAcentral.